RNAcentral lists this ribosomal RNA (500 nucleotides) under uncultured bacterium. RNAcentral's name for it is "partial 16S ribosomal RNA". It matches the Rfam family "Bacterial small subunit ribosomal RNA", at positions 30 to 523 of the family's 1533-position model. The record is from RNAcentral.
AUUGAACGCUGGCGGAAUGCUUUACACAUGCAAGUCGAACGGCAGCACGGGGGCAACCCUGGUGGCGAGUGGCGAACGGGUGAGUAAUACAUCGGGACGUGCCCAGUCGGGGGGGAUAACGUAGCGAAAGUUACGCUAAUACCGCAUACGAUCUACGGAUGAAAGCGGGGGACCGUAAGGCCUCGCGCGAUUGGAGCGGCCGAUGUCAGAUUAGGUAGUUGGUGAGGUAAAGGCUCACCAAGCCGACGAUCUGUAGCUGGUCUGAUAGGACGACCAGCCACCCUGGGAAUGAGACACGGCCCAGACUCCUACGGGAGGCAGCAGUGGGGAAUUUUGGACAAUGUGCGCAAGCCUGUUCCAGCCAUUCCGCGUGCAGGACGAAGGCCUUCGGGUGGUAAACUGCUUUUGUACGGAACGAAAAGGCUCUGGUUAAUACCUGGGGCUCAUGACGGUACCGUAAGAAUAAGCACCGGCUAACUACGUGCCAGCCGCCGCAGUAA